CCCUUAGAUGUCCGGGGCCGCACGCGCGCUACACUGAAGGAAUCAGCGUGGCUUUCUCCCUGACCCGAAAGGGUUGGGAAACCCGUUGAAUCUCCUUCGUGAUAGGGAUUGGGGCUUGAAAUUGUUCCCCAUGAACGAGGAAUUCCCAGUAAGCGCGAGUCAUAAGCUCGCGUUGAUUACGUCCCUGCCCUUUGUACACACCGCCCGUCGCUACUACUGAUUGGGUGUUCAAGUGAGAUGCUUAGACCCUUGUUGCAUGGUUCAUUAUUGUGCUCCGAAAGGAAAAAGUUUCAAGCUUGAGUGUCUAGAGGAAGUAAAAGUCGUAACA
Molecule: ribosomal RNA, 328 nt
Filed under: uncultured eukaryote
Lineage: Eukaryota
Description: partial 18S ribosomal RNA
Rfam family: Eukaryotic small subunit ribosomal RNA
Source: RNAcentral